Non-coding RNA from Mycena metata, 92 nucleotides. NCBI's taxonomy places the organism in Eukaryota, Fungi, Basidiomycota, Agaricomycetes, Agaricales, Mycenaceae. The record is from the annotation of a GenBank genome assembly.
GGCCCGGUUGCGGAUGGUCUGCACCUGCCCCGAAUAGUAGCUGAUACAAAUGCCAUUCUGCAGGAAUGCUCGUUCGAUUCGAGCCCGGGCCA